AUUGUCUGUGAAUGAAAUUUUAUGUACUCCAUCAACUUCGAAUUUACUAAUGACUUCUGCACCAUCGCCUCAGCCUGUGAUUACUGUCUGCAGGCUCACUCCGGUGAUCUUAUUGAUUCAUUUAUAAAAAAAUCUCAAAUUUUAAUGUUGAGUGAAACUUGGUUAUAUGAUAAUGAGUCUAUUAGUAUACCAAAUUUAAAAUGUAUAAUUCAAUACAAAUGAUCAAAUGUUAAAGCUGGAGAAUUUGCUAUCUGUCACAAUGCGAAUGAAACAACUAACAUUGUGACCAUGACUAUCGACAUGACUGUGAGGCAGUCCGACUUUGUUAGUUCAGCGAUAUCAUCAGUGGGUAAAUUUUGUAUAGCAGAGUGUAAAACAGAAGAUGGUUACAGAA
This 394-nucleotide long non-coding RNA is filed under the name Polistes fuscatus (common paper wasp). Its description in RNAcentral is "uncharacterized LOC122513664". Lineage: Eukaryota; Metazoa; Arthropoda; Insecta; Hymenoptera; Vespidae. The record is from RNAcentral.